AGAUGACUUUUAUAAACCUGUGUUCACACCCAAGCUGCUGGAGUGGACCUGGAAGCAAUUAUAGACCGAAAUGUGUGCAGGCAAAGAGGCGUUUGCUCUGACAUCCUUCCUCUAAGGAUUGUGUUUCAGUAGCUAAUAUGCGGCCUUGUGGGAAUCUCUUCUGCUUCCUCCCCAACUUUUAGAAACACUACUGUCUUGAUUUUCAAGCAUACACACAUCAUUUUAAAUGCACGAAGGAAAUUUCUGUGGCACCUCUUUUUAAAUGGCUGCCUUUUGUUCCAAGGGUUUAGAGCACUUAAAAGGUAGGAUCCUGUUCUUAAGCUGAAGAAGCGAUGCCAGGAUCAGGGAAGCUGGGACCUGGAGAGGCGCCAACUUACUUGUUCCACAAGGCGGACUGAGGGGGAAAGUGGGAUUAGACACCAGCUGCCGGUUCUUUCACCAACGCCCUGUCCGUGUGCUCCAGGCUCAGGUCCACUAACGAUAAACGACAGUGGCUUCUACGGAAGACAGUGGACUUCUUGAGCCAAAGACUCCUAGUAUUCCCUCUUGCACUAGCACCCUGCGUGGUGUUUUUACCUCCUAACUUUACCAUGAUUACGAUUAAAAAUGCAUGUGCUGUUUUGGGGGCUAUGGAGUAACCUGUCGCAGACCAGCACUUCUGUCCAGCAAAGCAGGCAAGGUCCCAUUAAAUGUAGAGAUCUCUGUUUGGAGGCACUGGAGAGCUGCUGGGGCAGCAGGACCCAAGCCGCUCACACUGGAGUGAGUGGAUCCUCAGGGAGGAAGCUGACCAGCAGCUGCCCCCAGGACAUUCGCCCAUUCUGGGUCGUGGCAGAAGGUGGGCGUCUGGGGACAGAGAUACCAGAGAAUUUCUCAGAGACAUGGGGGGCCUCCAUCACAUGGUUGGAUUUCCCUUCAGGCAUUUCCUGAGUUGGGGGUAUAUGAGGAGUGGAGACUGAAAAAGAGAAGCAGCGAGCCUCGGAAAAUCAUCUCAGCGUUUUCAGCAGUCUCGCAAGAGGCGUUGAGGACCUGCCGAGGGGAGGGGCAAGGUGAAGACACAGGUCUCCCCGGGGAGGCAAGGAUGGACCAUUACCCGGCCUCACACCACACCAGAAGUUCAACUGAGAUGGAUCGAGACCUAAAUGCAAAAGGUAAAACAAUAAAACUUGUAAAAGAAAACAGAAAAAGAUCUUCCUGACCUUUUUUUUUUUCCCACUUGAAAAAUGUAAUACUCCACUUUGCUUCAAAAACACUU
RNAcentral lists this long non-coding RNA (1252 nucleotides) under Equus asinus (donkey). RNAcentral describes it as "lncRNA (ENSEASG00005025755.1)". Lineage: Eukaryota; Metazoa; Chordata; Mammalia; Perissodactyla; Equidae. The record is from RNAcentral.